AUUCGGCACCCGGGUCCUCUCCGAAAACAUUGCUAAGAGCUGUUCAUACCUGUUGCUUCGCAAAAUGAGGUAUAUAUACACAAGUAGAUUCGCCGAUCAAUUUUGAUGAACCAGACGAAACUUCUGUACAAAAUGAAACAGUUUCUCAAAAGGGAUUACACAAUUCAACUUUCCCGGGUGUUUUAACGCAAUUGCUGCAAGGUUCCGAAAAUCUAGCACUGUACCAAAGCUGGCAGAAUCCACAAACACCACCCCCGUCGGAGAUCAGCAUUCGGGGUCAUUCUCCAGCACCCUCUCAGAGCAGCCGGGGACAUUCUCCAGUGCAAUCGUCAGCGUCUUCUAAUUCUAGCCAGCAUUCAACCCCCAGGUGGGACACUUUACCAACAUCGCUUCACUCUGAGCGAAGAUCUCGGCAAAGAACUCGUUAUUCACCCCGAUAUUCCCAUGGGCCUGACCACGACCGGAGACAUCGCAAAAGGCUGGUGCAGUUGGCCGACGUUCUUCGCUGGGCACUGGAGCAAUUUAUAGAAUCAAAGUCUCUUGGUUACAAUUCCAUACCCGACAUGAGUUUACAUUUGCUGCAUCUGUAUACUUUUUCCAAGGUUCUACCCAGAAA
Polypterus senegalus (gray bichir) is the source of this 616-nucleotide long non-coding RNA. RefSeq lists it as uncharacterized. The transcript is spliced from 5 exons. Lineage: Eukaryota; Metazoa; Chordata; Cladistia; Polypteriformes; Polypteridae. The record is from RefSeq and is a predicted model, not a curated record.